GGCCUUCGAUACAUGAUUUUUUUUGGGGGGGGGCACAUAAUUCAGCUUACAACUAGGCAAAUUGCGUCUUUAGUCUUAGCCUCUUGGGAGAAAGGAAGAAAAGUGCAAUUGGGUUGUCUGUUGGGCCUCGUCCCUUGAAGAGUAGAACUUGGAACCUGCUACUAUUUUUUUGAUGUAUUUAUUUUCAUUAAAGCAUAAUUGAUUUGCAGUGUUGUCCCAGUUUCUGCUAUACAGCAUAGUGACCCAGUCAUUCAUAUAUAUGUGUAUGUGUGUAUAUAUAUAUAUAUAUAUUCUUUUCCUCAUAUUAUCUUCAAUCAUAUUCUUUCCCAAGAGUUUGGAUAUAGUUCCCUGGGCUGUACAGUAGGACCUCAUUGCUUACUCAUUCUAAAUGUAAUAGUUUGCAUCUACCAACCCCAAACUCCCAGUCCAUCACUCCCUCCCCCUCCCCCUUGGCAACCACAAGUCUGUUCUCUAUGUCUGUGAGUCUGCUGUUCUGCAGAUUGAUUCAUUUGGGCCAUAUUAAGAUUCCACAUAUAAGCAAUAUCAUAUGGUACUUUCUUUCUCCUUUGACUUACCUUUACUUAGAAUGAGAAUCUCUAGUUGCAUCCAUGUUGCUGCAAAUGGCAUCAUUUUGUUAUUUUUCAUGGCUGAGUAGUAUUCCAUUGUGUACAUGUAUCAUAUCUUCUGAAUCCAUGUUUUUGAAGCAGCGCAAACCCCUCUAGUCUUUACCCAGACCCACUAAGUAAUCCACUGCCGGCUUUGGGGUUCCAGAACUCCUUCCUCUCGCUUCCUCAAGUCUGUCUUUUAGACAGGGAUCUGUUUCUCUGUUCCUGGCUGAGAAAUAGGUAUCUGUUCUGAGAUGACCUUUCACCUGGAACUAUUAAAAUGCAUUGGUCUUUUGCAGGUAUUUCUGUACCAGGAAAGAGCUCUCAGCCCCUAAAAGUCCCAGAUAGAAAGCUCAUCUACAGCCGGAUGAGAGGCCAAGGCAGUUACUGUUCUCACUUUCCUGUCUGCCCUUCUUCGCUCGCUCUGCAGGGGAAGGCAGGAGACCACACCUGUGUUUGCAGUAUCACAGACAUGCUGGGAUUGGCAAAUGUGCCAUUAGCCCACCAGGCUGGCACAGAAUGGCUACAUCAGAAGGACUUAAAUUUCACACGAUUUAUUACCACACUGAGAGGAGCCUCAAUAUACUGAAGACAGGCACUUUGGGUAAGUUACAGGCACACAGACCCAUAAUAUUCAAUUCCUCUGGCAUGCCUUCAACGUAGGCUCCAUUUCUACCAUUGUUUCUAGCUCCCCUUUUUGUAUACUCUUGUUUCAACCACUGAUUCUAGCCCAGAGGAUUCCUUUCGUUUCCUUAAUCAUUGGGAAGGGAAGAUCCUUUUCCCCUGGACCCCAAGUUCAUUCCUCCACACAGCCAUCUGAAC
Molecule: long non-coding RNA, 1427 nt
Filed under: Sus scrofa (pig)
Lineage: Eukaryota; Metazoa; Chordata; Mammalia; Artiodactyla; Suidae
Description: lncRNA (ENSSSCG00065031709.1)
Source: RNAcentral